RNAcentral lists this long non-coding RNA (233 nucleotides) under Dasypus novemcinctus (nine-banded armadillo). RNAcentral's name for it is "lncRNA (ENSDNOG00000051622.1)". Lineage: Eukaryota; Metazoa; Chordata; Mammalia; Cingulata; Dasypodidae. The record is from RNAcentral.
CCAGACAAAGGAGUGGGCACCAUAACGCAGUACGAGAUUUCUAACCCUCACCCUACAUCUACGCUGGGUGCCAAAGAAGAGCUGCAAACUGUGAAGUAACUUCUAUGAAGAGAUGAAGUAAAGAAUGGAAGGCAAAUGACUGUGGUAGUAAAGAAGUGUAUGUGGUGAGUGCUUAACAUUAUUUUAUCGUCUACCACAAAGUUAAUUCAUAAAAGUAUAACUGCCAAACUCUU